This 253-nucleotide ribosomal RNA is filed under the name uncultured bacterium. Its description in RNAcentral is "partial 16S ribosomal RNA". It matches the Rfam family "Bacterial small subunit ribosomal RNA", at positions 524 to 776 of the family's 1533-position model. The record is from RNAcentral.
UACGUAGGGGGCAAGCGUUGUCCGGAAUCAUUGGGCGUAAAGAGCGUGUAGGCGGCCCGAUAAGUCCGCUGUGAAAGUCCAGGGCUCAACCCUGGGAUGCCGGUGGAUACUGUCGGGCUCGAGUCCGGAAGAGGAGUGUGGAAUUCCUGGUGUAGCGGUGAAAUGCGCAGAUAUCAGGAGGAACACCAAGGGCGAAGGCAGCACUCUGGGACGUGACUGACGCUGAGACGCGAAAGCGUGGGAAGCAAACAGG